CAAGAUUGAUAAUCUUAGAAGAAAACACAAUCAUGACAAAAAUAUCAUUGCCAUGGUAUAGGACAAGUACUCUAAGAUGUUCCAAAUGUGAAGGCUGUGGGCAUGAAACUCAUCAAUGUCCUAAUUGCAAUGCAAGUUUCAUGACUAAUAAAGACCUUAGGAGCUAAAUUUUAUACUUUAAAGAGAAUGAAGAAAGGACAUUGCAACAAAUGGAGGUGCUUAAAAAGGCAAAAGAAGAGUGAAAGGAGAGGCAAGUACUAAGAGAAAAAAAAAGAAAAACAAACAAGAGAGAAAGAUAAGAAAAAAGGAGAGAGAAAUAAAAAGAAAAAGUAAAAGAGACAGUGGAACAAGAAAAAAGACAAAAGGUGGAAAAAGAAGUAAAAAAAGAGAGAGGGGAGAAAGAAAAGAAAGCGAGAAAGGAAGAAGAAAAGAGA
RNAcentral lists this long non-coding RNA (434 nucleotides) under Vigna radiata. Its description in RNAcentral is "long non-coding RNA (VRAD_LNC005093)". The record is from RNAcentral. Lineage: Eukaryota; Viridiplantae; Streptophyta; Magnoliopsida; Fabales; Fabaceae.